This 277-nucleotide ribosomal RNA is filed under the name uncultured bacterium. Its description in RNAcentral is "partial 16S ribosomal RNA". It matches the Rfam family "Bacterial small subunit ribosomal RNA", at positions 28 to 296 of the family's 1533-position model. The record is from RNAcentral.
GACGAACGCUGGCGGCGUGCCUAAUACAUGCAAGUCGAGCGGGUUUCAAGGGGCUUGCUCCUUGGAGCCAGCGGCGGACGGGUGAGUAACACGUGGGCAAUCUGCCUGUCAGACCGGAAUAACGCCUGGAAACGGGUGCUAAUGCCGGAUAGAGCAAUGGGCAGGCAUCUGCCUGUUGGGAAAGGCGCAAAGGCGCUGCUGACAGAGGAGCCCGCGGCGCAUUAGCUAGUUGGCGGGGUAACGGCCCACCAAGGCGACGAUGCGUAGCCGACCUGAG